AUUCGGAUUGGAGUCUGNAACCCGACUCCAUGAAGCUGGAUUCGCUAGUAAUCGCGCAUCAGCCACGGCGCGGUGAAUACGUUCCCGGGCCUUGUACACACCGCCCGUCAAGCCAUGGAAGCCGGGGGUGCCUGAAGUGCGCUGCCGCAAGGAGCGCCCUAGGGUAAAACCGGUGACUGGGGCUAAGUCGUAACAAGGUAUC
Molecule: ribosomal RNA, 202 nt
Filed under: uncultured bacterium
Lineage: Bacteria
Description: partial 16S ribosomal RNA
Rfam family: Bacterial small subunit ribosomal RNA
Source: RNAcentral